UUGACCUCAAAUCAGGUAGGAUUNACCCGCUGAAC
This 35-nucleotide ribosomal RNA is filed under the name Lentinula boryana. RNAcentral describes it as "partial 25S ribosomal RNA". Lineage: Eukaryota; Fungi; Basidiomycota; Agaricomycetes; Agaricales; Omphalotaceae. The record is from RNAcentral.